AAAUUAUGAGCUUUGGAGCGGCUUAAUUUCGACUUAAGUGAUGGUAAAUUUGGUGAAGUUCACGUCAUUAUUUC
Molecule: transfer RNA, 74 nt
Filed under: Desis jiaxiangi
Lineage: Eukaryota; Metazoa; Arthropoda; Arachnida; Araneae; Desidae
Description: tRNA-Arg
Source: RNAcentral